AUUCCAAUCGAACCCGGAGAUAGCUGGUUCUCCCCGAAAUAGCUUUAGGGCUAGCCUCAAGUAGUAAGUAUAGGCGGUAGAGCACUGAUCGGGCUAGGGGCCAUAAAGGUUACCGAACCCUGUCAAACUCCGAAUGGUUAUACUGUAGAGCUUGGGAGUCAGACUACGAGUGAUAAGAUCCGUGGUCAAAAGGGAAACAGCCCAGACCACCAGCUAAGGUCCCCAAUGUCGUACUAAGUGGAAAAGGAUGUGGGGUCUCUAAAACAACCAGGAUGUUGGCUUAGAAGCAGCCACCAUUUAAAGAGUGCGUAAUAGCUCACUGGUCGAGAGACCCUGCGCCGAAGAUUACCGGGGCUAAAGUACGAAACCGAAGCUGUGGCUACGACAUAUGUCGUGGGGUAGGGGAGCGUUCUGUGAGGGCUGAAGUCGUUCUGUAAGGAACGGUGGACUUCACAGAAGUGAGAAUGUUGGUAUGAGUAGCGAAAAGAAUGGUGAGAAUCCAUUCCACCGAAAGCAUAAGGAUUCCUGGGCAACGAUCGUCGUCCCAGGGUAAGUCGGGACCUAAUCCGAGGCAUGGAGCGUAGGAGAUGGACAACUGGCAGAUAUUCCAGUACCGGUAAUGAUUGUUUGAGCGAUGGAGUGACACAGGAGGGCAGGCAGGCAGGAGAUUGGUUGUUCCUGUACAAGCGUGUAGGAUGGGACGCAGGCAAAUCCGCGUCCUGUGAGUCUGAGGCGUGAUGUGGAGGUUCCGGAAACGGAACUGAAGCUGCUGACCCCACACUGUCGAGAAAAGCUUCUAGUUAGAGAAUUACCGCCCGUACCGUAAACCGACACAGGUAUGCGGGGAGAGAAUCCUAAGGUGCGCGGGAGAACCCUCGUUAAGGAACUCGGCAAAAUGUACCCGUAACUUCGGGAUAAGGGUAGCCGCUGUUGUGAAGUCUGAACAGACGGAGCAUGAGGCGGUCGCAGAGAAGAGGCCCAAGCGACUGUUUACCACAAACACAGGUGCCUGCUAAAGAGAAAUCUGACGUAUAGGUGCUGACACCUGCCCAGUGCCGGAAGGUUAAGGAAGGAUGUCCGGAGCAAUCCAAAGCAUUCGACCGAAGCCCCGGUGAACGGCGGCCGUAACUAUAACGGUCCUAAGGUAGCGAAAUUCCUUGUCGGGUAAGUUCCGACCCGCACGAAAGGUGUAACGAUUUGGGCACUGUCUCAACGAGGGACCCGGUGAAAUUGAAGUACCUGUGAAGAUGCAGGUUACCCGCGACUGGACAGAAAGACCCCAUGGAGCUUUACUGUAACCUGACAUUGGGUUCUGAUACAUCACGUACAGGAUAGGUGGGAGGCAUGGAAGCGAGGACGCUAGUCUUCGUGGAGCCGCCGUUGGGAUACCACCCUUGAUGUAUCGGAAUUCUAACCGUAGGAGUAACGAAACUCGGGACAGUGUCAGGCGGGCAGUUUGACUGGGGCGGUCGCCUCCCAAAGAGUAACGGAGGCGCCCAAAGGUUCCCUCAGCGCGGCCGGAAAUCGCGCGAAGAGUGUAAAGGCAGAAGGGAGCUUGACUGAGAGCCAAACACGGCAAUCAGGUACGAAAGUAGGGCUUAGUGAUCCGGUGGCAUCCAAGUGGAAGGGCCAUCGCUCAACGGAUAAAAGCUACCCUGGGGAUAACAGGCUAAUCUCUCCCAAGAGUCCAUAUCGACGGGGAGGUUUGGCACCUCGAUGUCGGCUCAUCACAUCCUGGGGCUGAAGUCGGUCCCAAGGGUUGGGCUGUUCGCCCAUUAAAGUGGUACGUGAGCUGGGUUCAGAACGUCGUGAGACAGUUCGGUCCCUAUCCAUCGCGGGCGCAAGAGAUUUGAAGGGGGCUGCUCCUAGUACGAGAGGACCGGAGUGGACGAACCAAUGGUGUACCAAUUAUCUCGCCAGAGGUAUAGUUGGGUAGCUACGUUCGGAAAGGAUAAACGCUGAAAGCAUCUAAGCGUGAAACCAGCCUUAAGAUGAGAUCUCUCAUAGAGCAAUCUAGUAAGACACCUUGGAGAAGACGAGGUUGAUAGGUCGGGAGUGUAAGUACAGUAAUGUAUUCAGCGGACCGAUACUAAUAUGUCGAGGGCUUGACUUG
Molecule: ribosomal RNA, 2113 nt
Filed under: human gut metagenome
Description: bacterial LSU rRNA
Rfam family: Bacterial large subunit ribosomal RNA
Source: RNAcentral